AUUGAACGCUGGCGGCAGGCUUAACACAUGCAAGUCGAGCGAGCGGCGGACGGGUGAGUAAUGUCUGGGAAACUGCCUGAUGGAGGGGGAUAACUACUGGAAACGGUAGCUAAUACCGCAUACCAUCAGAUGUGCCCAGAUGGGAUUAGCUAGUAGGUUGGGUAAUGGCUCACCUAGGCGACGAUCCCUAGCUGGUCUGAGAGGAUGACAAGCUACACCAGAACGGAACCACGGCCCGGUCUCCUACGGGACGCGGGGGAGGGGAGUGUUGCACUAUGGGAGCGAGCCUAAUGUGACCAUGCCGCGUAGGGUAAGGAGGCCUGCGGGUUGUAAUGCUCAUUCAGUGUGAAGGCGGUACUCGCAGAAGAAGCAUCGGCUAACUCCGUGCCAGCAGCCGCGGUAAUUC
RNAcentral lists this ribosomal RNA (406 nucleotides) under uncultured bacterium. Its description in RNAcentral is "partial 16S ribosomal RNA". It matches the Rfam family "Bacterial small subunit ribosomal RNA", at positions 30 to 526 of the family's 1533-position model. The record is from RNAcentral.